GACGAACGCUAGCGGCGUGCUUAACACAUGCAAGUCGAACGCUGACGCGCAGCUUAUGUCGGGUGGACGAGUGGCGAACGGGUGAGUAACACGUGAGUAACCUGCCUGCUACUUUGGGAUAACGCGCGGAAACGGGUGCUAAUACUGGAUAUUAACUGGGUCUCGCAUGGGGGUUGGUGGAAAGGGUUUUUCUGGUGGGGGAUGGGCUCGAGGCCUAUCAGCUUGUUGGUGGGGAGACGGCCUACAAAGGUUUUGAGGGGUGGCUCGCCGGAGAGGGUGACCCGUCAUAUUGGGACGGAGAUGCGGCCAAGACUCCGACGGGAGGCAGUGGUGGGGAAUAGUGAACGAGGGGGGCAAGGCUGAUGCAGCGUCGCCGCGUGAGUGAUGGAGGUCUUCGUUUUGUGAUUCUCUUUCGCUCAUGGUCAAGGCGCUACAAUUGUUUUAGUGAGGGUAGUUGGUAAAUAAGCGCCGGCUAACUACGUG
Molecule: ribosomal RNA, 483 nt
Filed under: uncultured bacterium
Lineage: Bacteria
Description: partial 16S ribosomal RNA
Rfam family: Bacterial small subunit ribosomal RNA
Source: RNAcentral